AGGUCAAGCUACAAAGGGCGCAUGGUGAAUGCCUUGGCACUAGGAGCCGAAGAAGGACGUGAUAAGCUGCGAUAAGCCUUGGGUAGUCGCAAAUAGGCAGAGAUCCAGGGAUUUCCGAAUGAGGGAACUCACAUGGGUAACCCCAUGUAUCAUGCACUGAAUACAU
The sequence is a ribosomal RNA, 166 nucleotides long. It matches the Rfam family "Bacterial large subunit ribosomal RNA", at positions 1 to 167 of the family's 2925-position model.